This is a long non-coding RNA of Ostrea edulis (European flat oyster), 4614 nucleotides long. RefSeq lists it as uncharacterized. The record is from RefSeq and is a predicted model, not a curated record. The transcript has 2 exons. Lineage: Eukaryota; Metazoa; Mollusca; Bivalvia; Ostreida; Ostreidae.
UAAAAACGAAAGUAGAAUUUUUCAGCACAAAUUCGCUAUGUUACCAACAAAUCUGUAGCUGUUAACUUGAAUUUGUGGAAAAAUAAAAUUAUAGGUCAUUUAAAUGUUACUUAUUAAUUUGUAAUAAAGAUUGUUUGGGUUUUAUUUAAAGAAAUAUUGGGGUGAGCAAAAGCAGGUCCCAAUGGGUUUCAUGUACUUCAUUUCAACAAUACUUUCUGCAUGUAGAAACUUUCUUACAAAACAAUUCAGUCUUAUAAACUUUCAGUACAAAUGUAGAAAUAAAAGUGAAAGUUUCUGUUCAAGCAAAGACACUUAAAAAUUAAUUGAUACAGCAUUGCAAAAAAUAAUUACAUGUAGUUAUCUUGAUGCACUUUAUUUUUCAUUUUGCAUCAAAAUUAGUACUUUGCAAUGUUGAAUUUUUUAAGUCUUUGCAUGAACAGAAAAUUUCACAUAUGAAACAAUAAAUUCAUGGCAAAAGUAAAAAUUUCAGGCAAAAAAAGCUGCAUUUAAGUGCCAGAAUGCAGGAUUUUGCGUCAUUUACCCAAGAGCUUCUGGGAGCCUUGAGCGGCCCUCAGACCCCCGGCCGUUCGCAUUGGAUCGCCUUCUACUUUUUCAUUUCAGCCUCCUACUUUUAAAUUUGUUGAAAGCCCUGUACAUGCUGGAAAAAUGUUAUUCAAUUUGAGAAACAUUAAAUAAAUCACAAUAUCCAUUGUACAUGCACAGCAAAUCUUUUAAGUUUAGAACUAAUGCAGGCAAUUUUCUUGAACUCAGACAUAUCAAAUACUCAGGACAUGUUGAAGUGAGCCACUAGUUCCGGUCAUUAUUCUGGAAACCUCGAGUAUCUCAUGCAGGAAAACUGUGAAUACUCCGUUUAAAAUUUCAGUCCUAAGCACAAUAUUUACCUGAUUUAUAUCGCAAUCAGGCAAAUUUUUUACUCUGUUGAACAUAAUGGUAUAACAAGUGGUAGAUUUUCAUUUCCGAUCUAGCCUACCCGGCACUUCUUAAAGUUUGUCGAAAUUCACGUUGUAAUCGAAAAAUGUACAUUCAUUAAAUAGAGGUAAAAUUUCGUGAAAAUACAUGAAAAGGUUGUAAAAAUCAUGGUCGUUGGUCGCGUCAGACAGGUGGUCAUUUAAUACAGGUACAAAAUAUAGAGUAACGUCUUGAGGGGAACUUUUUAUGGUCACAGUCAACAGUGAGUCGCUUAAUACAAUGGGUCGCUAUGGCAGUUUUGACUGUAGUGGAAACUUACAAGAGUGACAUCGGUGUUCAUAUUUGAAUUCAAUUAGAAAUUUUAAAAAAUAAUAAUACCGGGGUAGUUUGGGUUCGGACAUAAAAAUAUUCAAUUGCAAAGUACUAAAAGUCUCUCAAAUUGCACGAAACUCUAAGUUUCCGUCUUGAUAUUGAGAUAUACAAGCACGUACAUGUAGCAUUGUUUUUUAAAGUAGGGGAAGGGUCAGCUGGGGUUCACUUCGCACUUACGAAGGGGGGGGGGGCCAAAGACAAAGAUUAGUUCACUACACGUAUUCUUCAAUUCAGCACUUCCCAUGGGGAUCCGGGUUAGAAUAGGUCCUCAGUAGCCCUUGCUUGUCAUAAUGGGGCGGUCCUUCGGAUGACACCGCAAAAUCCAAGGUCCCGUGUCACAGCAGGUGUGGCACGAAAAAGAUCCCUCCCUGCUCAAAGGCCGUAAGCGCUGAGCAUAGGCCUAAAUUUUGCAGCCCUUCAUCGACAAUGGUGACGUCUCCAUAUUCAGUGAAAUAUACUCGAGAGGGACAUUAAACAAUAUAUGUAAUUAAUCAAUCAAUUCAGCACUUCAAACAUUAACUGCCUUUCAUUACUAAUUUUAAAAAAAUGGGGAGGAGGCAGCAAAUCAAUCGAGCUUUGCAUGUAGAAAAUAUGGGAUUUGUGUGUUAAAAUACAUGUAACGAAAAAGUAAAUUGUAAAAGGGGGACAAAUCAGGCCCCCUGCCCACCCCAACCCCGUUUCAACGUGACUGGUAUAACAUUUACGCAAAAAGAUUUCUUCAGUAGAAUACAAAUAUCUGAGCACCAUGAUUUAAUUCUAGAUGUUUCCUUCUUUGUACUGUAUAUGUAAUUAAUGAUUAUCCACAACAAUCAGCAAAUUUCAAAAUUUGAAAAAAUAAUGGGAAAACCUAUACAUGUAUUUUGUUGUCUUUCAUUUUUUUUAGAGGCGAAAAGUCGCCAGUUAUCGUUUUGUCGUCUUUUCACCUCGAAAUAACGAAUAGACGACAAAUUCUAAAAUGGCACAAAUCAGUCACCACCCCUAAACCAAUUUCAUUUUUAAAAUAAUUCUGGAAACACACUAUUUGAAUUUGGGAAUUUUAGCGCGCUAUUUUGCAUCUGAAUCAAUCUCGAUCACUUGAAAGUUUAUCAUAACAUAAUGAUGUUUGCACAUAACGUAAUGAUGUAACCACAUAACAUAAAGACGUAUUGACAUAACGUAAUGAUGUAACCACAUAACGUAAUGAUGUAACCACAUAACAUAAUGAUGUAACCACAUCACAUAAUGAUGUAACCACAUCACGUAAUGAUAUAUCGACAUAAUGUAAUGAUGUAACCACAUAACAUAAAGAAGUAUCGACAUAACGUAAUGAUGUAACCACAUAAUGUAAUGAUGUAACCACAUAACGUAAUGAUGUAACCACAUAACGUAAUGAUGUAACCACAUAACAUAAUGAUGUAACCACAUCACGUAAUGAUAUAUCGACAUAAUGUAAUGAUGUAACCACAUAACAUAAAGAGGUAUCGACAUAACUUAAUGAUGUAGCCACAUGAUGUAAUGAUGUAACCACAUAACGUAAUGAUGUAACCACAUAAUAUAAAGAUGUAUCGACAUAAUGUAAAGCUGAUUUACACUAUAAGGCAGUAACGGCGUUCCAUAGAACUGCUUUAGUUUUCUGUUUUCUUCAUAUUUUCUGCAACGUUUGUUUUUUGGGUUUGUUUUUUCAUUGUUUUACGUGAUGUGGUUACAUCAUUACGUGAUGUGGUUACAUCAUUAUGUUAUGUGGUUACAUCAUUGUGUUAUGUCGAUAUUUCUUUAUGGGUUUUUUUUUUCCAGUAUAAGUUAUAAUGUCUUUCCUCUUUUUACAGGGGAUGGCGCCCUCAUGGUGUGUUAGGCUUAACAUAGCCGAUUUAGUCCAUAUCAUUCAGAUGCAUUUUUAGAUAAAGAGAUUGAUUGUAGAAACAAGAUUCUACAUGAUCAAGACUGAAAAGGAAGUUGAUAAGCGACAGAUUCGAAAAUGUCUUACACAAUACAGUUGGCCACACUGAUGCUCUGUGCCAAAUAUCAGGGAGUUGCCCCAUGUGGUUCUUGAGAAAACUGUGACAAAUUUUUUGUGACGACGACGCCGCCAGACGACGACGCAGGACGACGGAUAGUGAUCCCUAUAUGUCGCCACUGCGUAACGCAGGCGACACAAUGAACUAUGCACAGACUUGUAAACUAAUUGACUAGGUCCAUUUUGACACGGUAAGCGACAACUCGCACGAUUAUGUCCCAAGAAAGAACCUGCUGCAGAGCCUUCCGAUUCGGAAAAAUCUAUAACUUAGAGACUGACUCUCAAAAUGGCAGCAUUAGGAAAUAAGGAACUGAAGAAUUUACUAUGGAACAGUACUCAUUUGCCAAGGAAUACAGAAACUUUCUGCAGUGAAAUUCCUACUUAUAUUUUUUUUUAAUAUCAACGCCCUGGACAGUGAAUUUAUUUGAGAUUAAAUGAAAUGAAUGCAAACAUAAAUCUACUUCAAGCACAUAGUAUGGUCGGUAUCUAACUUUUUUUAAUAAGUACAAUAUUUGGAAAAAUUAUUUUACAACAUCAAAAAAACCUGGACAGCAAGCAUAUGGAAGCUGAGUAAAAAGGGCUAUGUUAAAUUACUAUGUCAAUGUCAUGCAUCAUUUUUUUUUUUUUUUUAUAAAGAAGAAAAAUCAGGUUAGCUUCCUUACAUUUAUAAUAAUCCUGCUGAAAUGAAGUCAACAACACUUAAUACAACUAAACACCAAAAUCAGAUUAAAACAUGUAUCUUACAACUCACAAGGAUAGCCAAAUAAGUUUCAGGCAACUAUAAGAUUUAGAAAAAAAGCCAAAGUCCAUGGGCCAUAACUCUACUGAAAGUAAAUCAAACUGAGUAAAACUUCAACAUGAUAUGCAACUCAUAUUGAUCAACAUACAAUCAUACAUAAAAAAAAAUAUCUACAGGCACAAGAAAGAAUCUGGAAAAUUACAACCAAGUCAGAAUGAUGGACAGAAGGGCAACACUAUAUGUCGAGGCCAUUUUUAAGGUGAGGACAUACUGCAAGAAAAGAUAAACUGAAUUGUCUGAGAGAGCUAGAAAGUGAUCAGGAUUCGCUAGUAGUGAUGGACAAUCGGGAAAAAAGAAUUAAUUGAUGAUCGGAUUCACCUUUUCGAUCGAUUAAUCGAAAAAUAAUCAAAUUUUAUUAAUUUCAAAUUUAUGUCAUUUAAAUAUAUUAAAUUUACUUUAUUUUUUUACCCUAAAUAUUAAGUUAAUCAGAACAAGAGAUGUUUGUAAAACACAAAUGCCCCCCCCCCCCCCCCCCCCCACCCCCCUCCCCCUGGUGCAAAAUUGAAAAGGGUUAUACACA